Molecule: ribosomal RNA, 210 nt
Filed under: uncultured Microbacterium sp.
Lineage: Bacteria; Bacillati; Actinomycetota; Actinomycetes; Micrococcales; Microbacteriaceae
Description: partial 16S ribosomal RNA
Rfam family: Bacterial small subunit ribosomal RNA
Source: RNAcentral
GCGAAGAACCUUACCAAGGCUUGACAUAUACGAGAACGGGCCAGAAAUGGUCAACUCUUUGGACACUCGUAAACAGGUGGUGCAUGGUUGUCGUCAGCUCGUGUCGUGAGAUGUUGGGUUAAGUCCCGCAACGAGCGCAACCCUCGUUCUAUGUUGCCAGCACGUAAUGGUGGGAACUCAUGGGAUACUGCCGGGGUCAACUCGGAGGAA